CUAAUACCGCAUAACAACUUGGACCGCAUGGUCCGAGCUUGAAAGAUGGCUUCGGCUAUCACUUUUGGAUGGUCCCGCGGCGUAUUAGCUAGAUGGUGGGGUAACGGCUCACCAUGGCAAUGAUACGUAGCCGACCUGAGAGGGUAAUCGGCCACAUUGGGACUGAGACACGGCCCAAACUCCUACGGGAGGCAGCAGUAGGGAAUCUUCCACAAUGGACGAAAGUCUGAUGGAGCAACGCCGCGUGAGUGAAGAAGGGUUUCGGCUCGUAAAACUCUGUUGUUAAAGAAGAACAUAUCUGAGAGUAACUGUUCAGGUAUUGACGGUAUUUAACCAGAAAGCCACGGCUAACUACGUGCCAUCAGCCGCGGUAAUACGUAGGUGGCAAGCGUUGUCCGGAUUUAUUGGGCGUAAAGCGAGCGCAGGCGGUUUUUUAAGUCUGAUGUGAAAGCCUUCGGCUCAACCGAAGAAGUGCAUCGGAAACUGGGAAAACUUGAGUGC
Molecule: ribosomal RNA, 501 nt
Filed under: uncultured bacterium
Lineage: Bacteria
Description: bacterial SSU rRNA
Rfam family: Bacterial small subunit ribosomal RNA
Source: RNAcentral